UACACCUGUUAGCAAGGGCCGGGCAAGACCGGUGCCAGCCGCCGCGGUAACACCGGCGGCCCGAGUGGUGAUCGUGAUUAUUGGGUCUAAAGGGUCCGUAGCCGGUUUGGUCAGUCCUCCGGGAAAUCUGAUAGCUCAACUAUUAGGCUAUCGGGGGAUACUACCAGACUUGGAACCGGGAGAGGUAAGAGGUACUACAGGGGUAGGAGUGAAAUCUUGUAAUCCCUGUGGGACCACCUGUGGCGAAGGCGUCUUACCAGAACGGGUUCGACGGUGAGGGACGAAAGCUGGGGGCACGAACCGGAUUAGAUACCCGGGUAGUCCCAGCCGUAAACGAUGCUCGCUAGGUGUCAGGCAUGGCGCGACCGUGUCUGGUGCCGCAGGGAAGCCGUGAAGCGAGCCACCUGGGAAGUACGGCCGCAAGGCUGAAACUUAAAGGAAUUGGCGGGG
This 450-nucleotide ribosomal RNA is filed under the name uncultured Methanosarcina sp. Its description in RNAcentral is "bacterial SSU rRNA". It matches the Rfam family "Archaeal small subunit ribosomal RNA", at positions 424 to 873 of the family's 1478-position model. The record is from RNAcentral. Lineage: Archaea; Methanobacteriati; Methanobacteriota; Methanomicrobia; Methanosarcinales; Methanosarcinaceae.